RNAcentral lists this transfer RNA (77 nucleotides) under Bdellovibrionales bacterium CG10_big_fil_rev_8_21_14_0_10_45_34. RNAcentral describes it as "tRNA-Trp". It matches the Rfam family "tRNA". Rfam says of the family: Transfer RNA (tRNA) molecules are approximately 80 nucleotides in length. Their secondary structure includes four short double-helical elements and three loops (D, anti-codon, and T loops). The record is from RNAcentral. Lineage: Bacteria; Pseudomonadati; Bdellovibrionota; Bdellovibrionia; Bdellovibrionales.
AGGGCAGUAGCUCCAAUUGGUAGAGCAACGGACUCCAAAUCCGUUUGUUGUGGGUUCGAAUCCCUCCUGCCCUGCCA